UACAGAGGGGGCGAGCGUUGUUCGGAAUUACUGGGCGUAAAGGGUGCGUAGGCGGCGCGGUAAGUCGGGUGUGAAAUCUCGGAGCUUAACUCCGAAACUGCAUUCGAUACUGCCGUGCUUGAGGACUGGAGAGGAGACUGGAAUUUACGGUGUAGCGGUGAAAUGCGUAGAUAUCGUAAGGAAGACCAGUGGCGAAGGCGGGUCUCUGGACAGUUCCUGACGCUGAGGCACGAAGGUCAGGGGAGCAAACGGG
RNAcentral lists this ribosomal RNA (253 nucleotides) under uncultured bacterium. Its description in RNAcentral is "partial 16S ribosomal RNA". It matches the Rfam family "Bacterial small subunit ribosomal RNA", at positions 524 to 776 of the family's 1533-position model. The record is from RNAcentral.